Molecule: ribosomal RNA, 492 nt
Filed under: uncultured bacterium
Lineage: Bacteria
Description: partial 16S ribosomal RNA
Rfam family: Bacterial small subunit ribosomal RNA
Source: RNAcentral
AGUGAACGCUGGCGGUAGGCCUAACACAUGCAAGUCGAACGGCAGCACAGUAAGAGCUUGCUCUUACGGGUGGCGAGUGGCGGACGGGUGAGGAAUACAUCGGAAUCUACUUUUUCGUGGGGGAUAACGUAGGGAAACUUACGCUAAUACCGCAUACGACCUACGGGUGAAAGCAGGGGAUCUUCGGACCUUGCGCGAUUGAAUGAGCCGAUGUCGGAUUAGCUAGUUGGCGGGGUAAAGGCCCACCAAGGCGACGAUCCGUAGCUGGUCUGAGAGGAUGAUCAGCCACACUGGAACUGAGACACGGUCCAGACUCCUACGGGAGGCGGCAGUGGGGAAUAUUGGACAAUGGGCGCAAGCCUGAUCCAGCCAUACCGCGUGGGUGAAGAAGGCCUUCGGGUUGUAAAGCCCUUUAGUUGGGAAAGAAAAGCAGCAGGUUAAUACCCCGCUGUUCUGACGGUACCCAAAGAAUAAGCACCGGCUAACUUCGUG